AGUUUGACCCCCUUAGGAUUGAACCUUCGUGGGUAUGGAUGUUCAUUUUCUGGAGAAAAUUCAUGGUUGAAGGCUGGAAGGGGUAGUGGUUGGUUCUGUUGUUGGGUAAAAAGGAAUUUCUUGUUGGUGGUGUUCAACUUAAUGUUGAAGGUUCUCAUGCUGCUGGUGCUUGGAUCUGGUAUUGUCUGCCAUGGUUAGGGUUGUAAAUGGUAGUGUAUGGUGCUGUUUGGGUUAGUGUUUGGCUUGGAAAAUGGGUAG
Juglans microcarpa x Juglans regia is the source of this 258-nucleotide long non-coding RNA. RefSeq lists it as uncharacterized. The record is from RefSeq and is a predicted model, not a curated record. Lineage: Eukaryota; Viridiplantae; Streptophyta; Magnoliopsida; Fagales; Juglandaceae. The transcript has 3 exons.